RNAcentral lists this ribosomal RNA (322 nucleotides) under uncultured eukaryote. RNAcentral's name for it is "partial 18S ribosomal RNA". It matches the Rfam family "Eukaryotic small subunit ribosomal RNA", at positions 1470 to 1796 of the family's 1831-position model. The record is from RNAcentral.
CCCUUAGAUGUUCUGGGCCGCACGCGUGCUACACUGAGUGGAUCAGCGGGUCAGGUUGCGCGAAAGUGUUUCCUAAUCUUGAAAUCCGCUCGUGAUGGGGAUUGACGGUUGCAAUUUUCCGUCAUGAACGAGGAAUACCUUGUAAGCGCGGGUCAUCAUCCCGCGCUGAAUACGUCCCUGCCCUUUGUACACACCGCCCGUCGCUCCUACCGAUUGAGUGGUCCGGUGAGGCUUUGGGAUCUGAGCGGAAAGAGCGUUUCGCUGUUUCUGCUCGGAAAACUCAGUCGAACCUUAUCAUUUAGAGGAAGGAGAAGUCUUAACA